Molecule: long non-coding RNA, 1140 nt
Filed under: Phasianus colchicus (ring-necked pheasant)
Lineage: Eukaryota; Metazoa; Chordata; Aves; Galliformes; Phasianidae
Description: lncRNA (ENSPCLG00000020378.1)
Source: RNAcentral
GGAACUGUUGUAAUAUGUCUAUUUCUGUUAGAAACAACGAGUAUUUCUGCUGUUUUCUGUGAGUUUUCUUUGAUUCCUUUUUAUGUAGAUGUAAAGUCAUAAGCCCAUGUCUGUGAACUGGCAAUCUGUUUCCAUGGAAAUGAAUGGGAUGUCACAAACCUAGUGCUGGAGCUUCACUUCAAGCACAAGGAGAAAAUGGGCAGCAGAAGAAGGAUCUUGUAUUAUUUCAGGUUCCUACAUCUGCCCACAGCAAAUCUCAUCUCUUGAGCAGGUUGUACCAAGGAGUUGGGCAAGGCAGUGUGCAUACCCAGCUACACCCCAGAUCUAAGGACAAGGAGAAAUCUCUGACUACUCUGCAGGAGCUAAGAAUGAUGAAUGAGGAGGGAGGAAGCUGUAUUUUCUCUCUGCGUGGAGAAAAGCAAAAAAAAAAGUCUCUGUGCUUUGCACUAGAGCAUAAGUGGCCGUUAUUUUGGGGCUAGGAGGGAGAAUGUGCUAUUUUUACCCUCAGAUCUUAUGGAUAGACCAAGUUUUCCCAAAAAUUUGGCAAGUGUUUGUUCCAUUGGAAAGGAGAAGGAAAUCUUCGUUGCUUUUUAAUUUCUGUGACUAAAAGAAAUUAUGAAGAUGAUCAGUUGUUUGGUUUUGCCAGUGUGGUACAGCACUGUGUAAAUGCUUUGAAGUGCAGAUCAGUGAGGAACUAGGUGGAAGUGCAAGUAUUUACCCAGACAGAAGUCUAGCUGGUCCUUGUGUACAAGCUAUUUGACUUCCUUGAUGCGAGUUACAUUUUCAUGGGCCAUUCUGGCUGUGCAUUAAUGGAGGAGAAUUUGGAACAUUAAUUGUCUUCAGUGAAGAGGCAUUUUAAUUCUAUAAUUUUGCAAAAAAAAAAAAAAAAUCUAAUUAGAGGGAAGAGAUUUCCCCUUUUUUUCACAGCUGUCUGCAGCAUGAGUUCACUUGACCCAGUGACAAUUAAUUGCAUCCCAACUGGCAAGAGCAAUGAGUUUCUACUGUGCAUAACUAUUGUAGAUAUGUCUAAGAUUUCAGUUAAAAAAAAAAAAAAGUAAUGAAGCAAACUGAUUAUUACUUGUGCCCAUCCAUGGCAAUCCAUGUAUUGUUUACAAAUAAUAAAGAAACAAAGAUAUCACA